CAGUUCGGGUGUUUUGUGUUGUCCUGAGGCAUAUCAGGUGGAUAAUUAAAAAGACAGCUCAAGUCAGAGUGUUCAGCUCCUGUCUGGGAAAAAGACACAGAAUAGUUGUCUGUGUGAGCUCACUGAGAGGAUUGAAAUCACCACAAGUGACCAUUGUGCCACAGUUACUGAGAAGACUCUGAAAGAAAGCUAUAUCUGAACAAGAAUGGUAUAAGAGAUGGAGAAAAUAUGAAGAGUAACAUAUGCUGUGUUCACUGAGGCCAGAAUAGGCAAUACAACUGUUGGGACUGAGGAAUCACCAACUGUGCAAAAGAGGAGAGGAUGGGACUGAGUUGUCCAAAAAAAGGAACCGGGAAGUGGGAGAUGAGCUUGAACAGUUUUGACAGAGAAACAAACAGCCUCCUAAAGACUAUCAUCUCCUCAGGGUUCUUGUUGCCAGACCUUCCUUCCUCAACACAAAGAAAAGGACAAAUUCCAUGUGAGGAGGUAACAGGAUCUAAAGGGAAUAUCUUCCAGAUGGAAAUAACAGGAAGUUUUUCAUCUUCAAAAGUACAAAUGUUUGAUAGUAGUAAAGGAGAAUCUGCAGAAUGGAAUAGUGCAAUUAAAUUGUGCAUAAAACUGAGGAGACUAAAUUAUUUUCUUCUGAUCAAGCUGGUAUGUGAUAAAGAUUGGUUUUACAGCUUAACCCUAUGGUUAAUGCUAAUAUAAAUAUUGCUGCUUCAUCUAUCAUGUUGAUUUACAUUCCAGUUUCCUGUGAAGGAAGAGUACCAAGAUCAUGGUUGAAAUAACCCAUGGUGCCCUCUUGGGAAUUGUGUUGUCAUAAUAAAAAAUGUUUACUUUUUAUUAUUCUUUAUUAUUAUUAACCUACAUAGAGUUGAUAUAUUAUUUGGUUCUUUACCGAGAAUGUUUAAUCAUUCAG
Xenopus laevis (African clawed frog) is the source of this 919-nucleotide long non-coding RNA. RefSeq lists it as uncharacterized. Lineage: Eukaryota; Metazoa; Chordata; Amphibia; Anura; Pipidae. The transcript has 3 exons. The record is from RefSeq and is a predicted model, not a curated record.